UCAAAUAAAUUUUUUUUAAUUAACUAUUAAUUUUCUAUUAAAUUUAUUAGUGUUCCUAAUAAAGCUAAAGAUUGCCAGUCCAGGGCCCUCUGAUCCCAUACAUUUCCUAGAGCAGGUACCCAGGAAAAGUAAGCAGGGUGUCAAGACCCAUGGCUUAGGAUUGGGGGGGGGGUCAAUCUUGUAAGAUCCUAUGACCCAAGUGUUUUUUUCCUUCCUUUUCAGUUGGCUGGUGUCUGGGAGACAACAAUGUGGAGAGGAAAGGGGAGAAGAGGAACACUCAAUGUUUCUUGCUUUUAGCCACAGCUCAUUUCAUGCUAUUGUGCUGAAAUGGCUGGAAGCUUUGGGAAGGUAGAAACGUGGGCUUCUAAUUCUGGAAUUACUGAUGAAGACAAAAGAAAGUUCGGGUUUGUUAGCUUGGUUCUCCUGCCCUCAUUUCAGCUCCUCCAAAGAAUAAUCUAGAGAAACAAAUGUGAGAAAUUUGUUUCUAAACUACCACUAAAGACAGAGGUGUGAACUGAACUCAAGAUGGGACUGUAAACUCAUGAUUCAGCUCUCCAAGACAGGAACUAAGAUGCAGAGAGAGGAAGAGUCUUGCCCAAGGACACACAGUAAAUUAACAGCAGAGCUAUUAACAGUUAAAAGAUGAGGAAACAGUCCCAGAGAGGUAAAGAACUUGCCUGCACUGAAGUCUGUGUUCUCCACUACUUCAAUCUACCGCCUCCAAGGAUGAUGUUGUAGCUUGAUGUAGCCUGUGGCUUGAAAUAUGGUGGGAAUAUUCAUGUCACAGAAAUCAGCAAAUACUACAAAUCAGCUUGUUUUGUUGAUUGUCACAGUUUAAGAAAGUGAUGAAGGACUUCCCUGGUGACGCAGUGGUUAAAAAUCCACCUGCCAAUGCAGGGGACAUGGGUUUGAUCCCUGGUCUGGGAAGAUCCCACAUGCCACAGAGCAACUAAGCCCAUGAGCCACAACUCCUGAGCCCGCGUGCUGCGACUACUGAAGCUUGCAUGCCUACAGCCCAUGCCCCACAACAAGAGAAGCCACCGCAAUGAUAAGCCCGCGCAGCACAAUGAAAGAGUAGCCACAAGAGUAGCCCCCACUCGCCACAACUAGAGAAAGCCCACACGCAGCAAUGAAGACCCAAGGCGGACAAAAAAAGUAAAAUAAAAAAAAAAUAAAUAAAUGAAAUAAAAUAAAAUUAUUAACAAAAAAAGAGAAAGUGAUGAAGAUGCUGAAGCACGGGGAGAUGCAGGGACCCCCAUGAGAGAGAUGGGAGGAUCAAUUUCAACGAGUUUCCAAUAUGGAUCCCAUUCUCUCUCAUGUGUAACCUUUAAAAUAAACUCCUUUUUUCUUAAGUCUUCCCCGUUAUCAAUAAAAGUGUGUGUGUAUGUGUGUGUGUGUGUUUAGGUAUAAUUUAUAUAAAAUAAAAUGCAGAGAUACUAAAAAUUCAGUUCACUGAGUUUUUACAGUGUUUACCCCCAGGCAACCACCACUCUAAAUGAGAGAACAUCCCCAUCACUCCAGAAAGUUCGUUCAAGCCUCUAACCAGUAAAAUUUCCACCAUGGCUUCCAACCUGCCCUCCCCCAGCCAUUUUCUGAUUUCUUUCAUGUAUAUGGUAUUUCAGUCUUCCAGUUGCUCAGGCCAAAAACCUUAGAGUCAUCCUUGACUCAUCUCUUUCUCUCACACCCAACAUCCACAGUGUUUCCUGUCAGGUAGAUUUUCAAAAUAUAUCUAAAAUCUAACUGCUUCUCAUCAACUCCACUGCUGCCUCCUUGGUCCAAGCCACAUCAUCUCUCACCUUCUGACCGGUCUCCAGCUUCCUUACCUUCCCAAGCUCCUCCACUCCUCAUACAGUCUGUUCACACAGCUGCCUGAGCAAUCUUUUAAAAAUGUAAAUUCAGAUCAUGACACCACUCUGUAAAACGCUCCAAUGCUUACCAUCUCUCAGAGUAGAAUCAACCUCAAGGUCUCUACCGUUGUAGGGUCGUCUCCAAUUUUUGGAUCUCAAUCUACUGCUCCCUGCUGGCUUACCAGGCUCUAGCCAAACCAGCCUCUUUGCUAUUCCCAGAACACACAAGCACAUUCCCCCCUCACAGACUUUGUCCUUUCUGGUUCUUUUUUUUAA
Delphinapterus leucas (beluga whale) is the source of this 2123-nucleotide non-coding RNA. Lineage: Eukaryota; Metazoa; Chordata; Mammalia; Artiodactyla; Monodontidae. The record is from RefSeq and is a predicted model, not a curated record.